GACAUGAAGUGCGAGCGUUAUCUACAAUGACUGGGUGUAAAGGAUGAGUAGAUUGUUGAGAAAUUUUUUUUUUACCAUAAGCAGUAGCAUUAAAAUGAUUACUAUUCUCAAACUAGAAUUAAUAAGGGGUAAACAGAACUAAUAUUAUAGCGGUGAAAUGCUAGGAUAAUAGAGGGGCUCUCAUUGGCCACGGCAGUUUACUAUUAUUGAUUGACAUUGAGGCAUGAAAGUAUAGGUAUCGAAAAGGAUUAGAGACCCUUCUAGUCUAUACUGUGAAUGAUGAGUAUUAAGCAGUUAAGCUUUAGUUAACACGUUAAAUACUCCACCUGGGGAAUACAAUCGCAAGAUUAAAACUUAAAUCGAAAUUGGCGGGAAUUUGUAUGAACGGUGGAACAUGCGUCUUAAUUGGACAAUACACCAAAGAUCUUACCAGUAUUAAUAUUUUGUUUUUAUAUUUGAUGAAAUAUUUAGGCUCUGCAUGGCUGUCGUCAGUUCGUGUUGUGAAACGUGUGGUUAAGUCUUGAACGAACGAAAUUCUUUAUAAUAUUGAAAAUUAGAUAAUAUUUAUUUAAUUUACUUAUUAUUAGAUUUGAUGCUUAUAAUUUAACUAAUUAUGAAGUAUUGAAUUAAAGAUUGAAGUCAAGUCAGUAUGGACUAUAUAUACUGGGCGGAACGCGUGUUACAAUGGUAGAUACAAUAAGAUACGAAAGUGCAAACUUGAGUAAAUCAUUAAAACCUACCUUAGUACGGAAUAUUUUAUGAAAAUAAAAUAUUAAGGAGUAAUCGUUAGUAAUCGUAUUUUAGAAUGGUACGGUGAAAAUUAAAGCAAAUUUUGCACACACCGCCCAUCACGUGCGGAAAGUUAUUUUUAUUUUUAGUUAAGCCCUCUAUUCUUUUAUUUAAAAAUAAAUUUAUAUAAUUAUAAAUAGGAAGAAGCAUGGAACUGAGCGUAAAAAUAAUUAUUUGGACGAAGUUG
RNAcentral lists this ribosomal RNA (976 nucleotides) under Spirostomum sp. RNAcentral describes it as "partial small subunit ribosomal RNA". It matches the Rfam family "Bacterial small subunit ribosomal RNA", at positions 524 to 1488 of the family's 1533-position model. The record is from RNAcentral. Lineage: Eukaryota; Ciliophora; Heterotrichea; Heterotrichida; Spirostomidae.